This 478-nucleotide ribosomal RNA is filed under the name uncultured bacterium. Its description in RNAcentral is "partial 16S ribosomal RNA". It matches the Rfam family "Bacterial small subunit ribosomal RNA", at positions 28 to 523 of the family's 1533-position model. The record is from RNAcentral.
GAUGAACGCUGGCGGCGUGCCUAAUACAUGCAAGUCGAACGAGGAAAGCUUUCGGGUGAGUACUAGUGGCGCACGGGUGAGGAAUAUAUGGGUAAUCUGCCCUCGAGUUGGGGAUAACCAGUCGAAAGACUGGCUAAUACCGAAUAAGACCACAGGAUCUGCGGAUCUAGGGGUUAAAGGUUUUUCGCUUGAGGAUGAGCCCAUACGGGAUUAGCUAGUUGGCGAGGUAAUGGCUCACCAAGGCUACGAUCCCUAACUGGUCUUAGAGGAUGAUCGGUCACACUGGAACUGAGACACGGUCCGGACUCCUACGGGAGGCAGCAGUAGGGAAUAUUGCACAAUGGGGGAAACCCUGAUGCAGCGACGCCGCGUGAGUGAUGAAGGCCUUCGGGUCGUAAAGCUCUGUCGUAUGGGACUAACACAAUGAAGGUACCAUGCAAGAAAGGAUCGGCUAACUUCGUGCCAGCCGCCGCCGUAA